Molecule: small RNA, 859 nt
Filed under: Pan troglodytes (chimpanzee)
Lineage: Eukaryota; Metazoa; Chordata; Mammalia; Primates; Hominidae
Description: retained intron
Source: RNAcentral
AAAACGAUAGUGCCAGAAGCUAAGGGAACCUGAAAAAUCAAAUAGUUGCCUUUUGCUACUUGUUAACAGCCUAGUGAAGAUUUGGUAGAAGUAGUAUUUGGACCAUUUUAAAAUUUUUAGUGUCAAUGGGUUUACAUAAUUCAUCUAUUUCCUAUUCCAUAUUGCCAUGGAGCAUAGUAUAGAUCAUCUAGACUUAGCUGUAUGCAGCUUUUCUACUAGAGUUAUUAGUGUCAUCCUCAAGGUAACAGGCACUAAUAAUUAGAACUCUCCGUCUUCUUUUUUUUGGUAUCUCCCUACACUCCUGACUCUUAUAUAGAACAAAGAACUUUGAGUCUGGCAAGGCUUAUAAGACAACAUGGGGAGAUGGUGGAGAAAACUCACCUUGCAAUGUAGUAUCUAAACAGCCAGGCCCGGUGACAAAUGGUCAGCUUCAGCAACCAACAACAGGAGCAGCCAGUGGUGGAUACAUUAAACGCAUAACUAAUGAUGCCAGAGAAGAUGAAAUGGAAGAGAACCUGACUCAAGUGGGCAGUAUCCUGGGAAAUCUAAAAGACAUGGCCCUGAACAUAGGCAAUGAGAUUGAUGCUCAAAAUCCACAAAUAAAACGAAUCACAGACAAGGCUGACACCAACAGAGAUCGUAUUGAUAUUGCCAAUGCCAGAGCAAAGAAACUCAUUGACAGCUAAAGCUACUGCUGUUCUUCUUUAUCAUUUAUUCACUUCCGUAGCUCCUCCUUGAAAGUUAUUACCUUUUCAGAGUUUAAGUUUUCGGUUCCACGCUCUUCUAAUUGGGAGAUAAUAUGGAAGAAGGGCCAGAGCAGUUACAGCCCUCCUUCUUUUUUGUUUUCUGUUGAGGGCCG